Molecule: transfer RNA, 62 nt
Filed under: Eutreptiella gymnastica
Lineage: Eukaryota; Euglenozoa; Euglenophyceae; Eutreptiales; Eutreptiaceae
Source: RNAcentral
GUAUAGUAGAGAGGUAAGUGCUUCGGGCUUGAAGUUCGAAGGUCCCGGGUUCGAAUCCCAGU